Molecule: non-coding RNA, 135 nt
Organism: Triticum aestivum (bread wheat)
Lineage: Eukaryota; Viridiplantae; Streptophyta; Magnoliopsida; Poales; Poaceae
Source: Rfam
UUUCUACUCCCUCCGUCCGAAAAUACUUGUCAUCAAAAUGGAUAAAAAUAGAUGUAUCUAAAACUAAAAUAUGUCUAGAUACAUUUCCUUUUAUCCAUUUUGAUGACAAGUAUUUCCGGACGGAGGGAGUAUUUG